GGUCAAGCUACUAAGGGCGCAUGGUGGAUGCCUUGGCAGAAGCAGGCGAUGAAGGACGUGGCAAGCUGCGAUAAGCCCCGGAGAGCCGCAAGCAGGCUUUGACCCGGGGAUUUCCGAAUGGGGAAACCCACGGGGGUAAAACCCCCGUACGGCCCGAUGAAUCCAUAGUCGGGCACGAGCGAACCCUGGGAAGUGAACCAUCUCAGUACCAGGAGGAAAAGAAAGAAACCUCGAUUGCGAAAGUAGUGGCGAGCGAAAUCGCAACAGCCUAAACCUGUUUGACCUUCGGGUUAUGCAGGGGUUGUAGGGUCGGCAACAGUAGAGUUACCAAUCCAGUCGUUAGUCGAAGCCCUCUGGAAAGAGGAGCCAUAGAGCGUGAUAGCCGCGUAGACGAAAACGAUCUGGACUCGAAGCCGAUACCUGAGUACCGCGGAGCACGAGAAACUUUGCGGGAAGCUACGGAGACCAUUCCGUAAGGCUAAAUACUAGCUUCUGACCGAUAGUGAACCAGUACCGUGAGGGAAAGGCGAAAAGAACCCCUGCGAGGGGAGUGAAAUAGUACCUGAAACCGUGUGCCUACAAACGGUGGGAGGACUAUGCCAGCGCAAGCUGGAAAGUCUGACCGCGUGCCUAUUGCAUAAUGAGCCGGCUAGUUAUUCUUGUCAGCAAGGUUAAGCGAAAGCGAGCCGCAGCGAAAGCGAGUCCUAAUAGGGCGCUUGAGUUGGCAGGAAUAGACGCGAAGCGGGAUGAUCUACCCUUGGCCAGGCUGAAAGUGGGGUAACACCCACUGGAGGGCCGAACGGGUGUUUGUUGAAAAAAGCUCCGAUGAGCUGAGGGUAGGGGUGAAAGGCUAAUCAAAUUCCGUGAUAGCUCGUUCUCUCCGAAAUAGCUUUAGGGCUAGCCUCGGAUGAUUUGUCGUGGUGGUAGAGAACUGAAUGGACUAGGGGGCUUUCCAGCUUACUGAAUCCAAUCAAACUUCGAAUGCCAUAGAACAACCAAUCCGGGAGUCAGACGGCGGGGGCUAAGCUUCGUCGUCGAGAGGAAAACAGUCCAGAUCGCCUGCUAAGGUCCCAAAAUACAAGCUAAGUGGGAAAGGAAGUCGGAACGCCCAGACAGCCAGGAGGUUGGCUUAGAAGCAGCCAUCCUUUAAAGAAAGCGUAAUAGCUCACUGGUCAAGCGGUCCGGUGCCGACAAUUUAACGGGGCUUAAGCUUGUUACCGAAGCAGCGA
Molecule: ribosomal RNA, 1229 nt
Filed under: Terriglobia bacterium
Lineage: Bacteria; Pseudomonadati; Acidobacteriota; Terriglobia
Description: partial 23S ribosomal RNA
Rfam family: Bacterial large subunit ribosomal RNA
Source: RNAcentral